UCAGUGAGAAUAGUGUAUUUGUCCGCGUGUCUUUAUAUUUAAAACAUCUUUGCGUGAAGCACGUCGUUUGCUCGACACAGUCUAGACACAGUAAGAAAACAAACAAGAAGAGAGGAGUAAAUCAGUUGACUAUAAAUAUUGCAUUAUUCAACAAUCUGUUUUCAACUAUAGUAUACCAAGAAGCGCAGUGCUAGUUCAGCAACACAGAAAUAUACCUCAGAAGAAUCAACUUUCACCGCUGACCAGUGCGGUCGAGAAAAUUUCCGGCGAAUCCAAUGCAGCAACAACGUCCACUUGCAGUACCGCAAUACAAAGCCACAAAGCGAUCCAACAGCGUGGGAAAUUUUAUCAUCGCAAAAUUUUAUAUCAGCUCAACAGCUAUACCAAAAGCGAUACCACGUCGAUGGCCGAAAUGAUUUUUGGUUCUGCACCUAUAGUCUUCCAGGACAGCAGUUUGAAGCCAACAGUAGCAGCAACAGCAGUAAAAAAGUAUCCACUUCCACCUACUUGGGCUAUGAACUGCCAAGUAUCGGUCAGAAUGCACUAUACAACGGCCGACAUACGUCGAAAAGUGAUCGUAGCUCCAUAGGUACAACGUCACUACGGUCGUUUACUGUUACUUCGUCCACUUUGACGUAAUAUGAUACUUCGUACAACCACAGACAAAGGCCACCACUGCCAAUCGAGUUUGCGCAUUUGGAGCAUCUGGCAGAUCCGAGACUUUCAACCAAAAGUGGCCUUGACUCAGGGUAUGGUGGAACGGAACCUUGGGCGUUUUCAUCAAGUCAACCACGCCAUCGCACCGAAACAGUCUAGCAUCAAUUUCUAGUGAUUUCGAGUGUUUUCGAAGACUUAGUUUAGAUACCAGUAUUGAUAUUCCACAGCCUCUGAAUUGCACAAGUUUAGACGACUAUAGUCAGUAUGGCAGCUUUCAUCGAGGUCAAUACGACCGGUUCGGUGAACAUUAGCAGUCAAGUGACAGCGAGCGAUGGUUGCGCCGGUGGUAAAAAUCG
Molecule: long non-coding RNA, 1013 nt
Organism: Topomyia yanbarensis
Lineage: Eukaryota; Metazoa; Arthropoda; Insecta; Diptera; Culicidae
Exons: 3
Source: RefSeq, a predicted model, not a curated record